AACGAACGCUGGCGGCAUGCCUAACACAUGCAAGUCGAACGAGACCUUCGGGUCUAGUGGCGCACGGGUGCGUAACGCGUGGGAACCUGCCCUUAGGUUCGGAAUAACUCCCCGAAAGGGGUGCUAAUACCGGAUAAUGUCUUCGGACCAAAGAUUUAUCGCCUUUGGAUGGGCCCGCGUUGGAUUAGCUAGUUGGUAGGGUAAAAGCCUACCAAGGCGACGAUCCAUAGCUGGUCUGAGAGGAUGAUCAGCCACACUGGGACUGAGACACGGCCCAGACUCCUACGGGAGGCAGCAGUGGGGAAUAUUGGACAAUGGGCGAGAGCCUGAUCCAGCAAUGCCGUGUGAGUGAUGAAGGCCUUAGGGUUGUAAAGCUCUUUUACCCGGGAUGAUAAUGACAGUACCGGGAGAAUAAGCUCCGGCUAACUCCGUG
Molecule: ribosomal RNA, 433 nt
Filed under: uncultured bacterium
Lineage: Bacteria
Description: partial 16S ribosomal RNA
Rfam family: Bacterial small subunit ribosomal RNA
Source: RNAcentral